CACGUAGGGGGCGAGCGUUGUCCGGAUUUAUUGGGCGUAAAGAGCUCGUAGGCGGUUUCGUAAGUCGGAUGUGAAAACUCCAGGCUCAACUUGGAGACGCCAUUCGAUACUGCGAUGACUUGAGUCCGGUAGGGGAGUGUGGAAUUCCUGGUGUAGCGGUGAAAUGCGCAGAUAUCAGGAGGAACACCGGUGGCGAAGGCGGGUCUCUGGGCCGAUACUGACGCUGAGGAGCGAAGGCGUGGGGAGCGAACAGG
This 254-nucleotide ribosomal RNA is filed under the name uncultured bacterium. RNAcentral's name for it is "partial 16S ribosomal RNA". It matches the Rfam family "Bacterial small subunit ribosomal RNA", at positions 524 to 776 of the family's 1533-position model. The record is from RNAcentral.